Molecule: ribosomal RNA, 379 nt
Filed under: uncultured bacterium
Lineage: Bacteria
Description: bacterial SSU rRNA
Rfam family: Bacterial small subunit ribosomal RNA
Source: RNAcentral
UAUUGGCCAAUGGGCGCAAGCCUGAUCCAGCCAUGCCGCGUGAGUGAUGAAGGCCUUAGGGUUGUAAAGCUCUUUUGCCGGGGACGAUAAUGACGGUACCCGGAGAAUAAGUCCCGGCUAACUUCGUGCCAGCAGCCGCGGUAAUACGAAGGGGACUAGCGUUGUUCGGAAUCACUGGGCGUAAAGCGCACGUAGGCGGAUCAUUUAGUCAGGGGUGAAAUCCCGGGGCUCAACCUCGGAACUGCCUUUGAUACUGAUGGUCUCGAGUCCGAUAGAGGUGGGUAGAAUUCCUAGUGUAGAGGUGAAAUUCGUAGAUAUUAGGAAGAAUACCGGUGGCGAAGGCGGCCCACUGGAUCGAUACUGACGCUGAGGUGCGAAA